Molecule: transfer RNA, 73 nt
Filed under: Ovis aries (sheep)
Lineage: Eukaryota; Metazoa; Chordata; Mammalia; Artiodactyla; Bovidae
Rfam family: tRNA
About the family: Transfer RNA (tRNA) molecules are approximately 80 nucleotides in length. Their secondary structure includes four short double-helical elements and three loops (D, anti-codon, and T loops).
Source: Rfam by way of RNAcentral
UCCCUGGUGGUCCAGUGGUUAGGACUCAGUGCUUUCAUUGCUGUGGCUGUGGGUUCAAUCCCUGGUUUGGGAA